RNAcentral lists this ribosomal RNA (468 nucleotides) under uncultured bacterium. RNAcentral describes it as "partial 16S ribosomal RNA". It matches the Rfam family "Bacterial small subunit ribosomal RNA", at positions 28 to 507 of the family's 1533-position model. The record is from RNAcentral.
GACGAACGCUGGCGGCGUGCUUAACACAUGCAAGUCGAACGGAAAGGCCCUGCUUUUGUGGGGUGCUCGAGUGGCGAACGGGUGAGUAACACGUGAGUAACCUGCCCUUGACUUUGGGAUAACUUCAGGAAACUGGGGCUAAUACCGGAUAGGAGCUCCUGCUGCAUGGUGGGGGUUGGAAAGUUUCGGCGGUUGGGGAUGGACUCGCGGCUUAUCAGCUUGUUGGUGAGGUAGUGGCUUACCAAGGCUUUGACGGGUAGCCGGCCUGAGAGGGUGACCGGCCACAUUGGGACUGAGAUACGGCGCAGUCUCCUACGGGAGGCAGUAGGGGGGAAUAUUGCGCAAUGGGCGGAAGCCUGAGGCAGCAACGCCGCGUGCGGGAUGACGGUCUUCGGGUUGUAAACCGCUUUCGCCGGUGACGAAGCGUGAGUGACGGUAAUGGGUAAAGAAGCACCGGCUAACUACGUG